UGGGGAAUCUUGCGCAAUGCGCGAAAGCGUGACGCAGCAACGCCGCGUGCGGGAAGACGGCCUUCGGGUUGUAAACCGCUUUCAGUUGGGACGAAGCUUCGCCGGUGAAUAGCCGGCUGGAGUGACGGUACCUUCAGAAGAAGCCCCGGCUAACUACGUGCCAGCAGCCGCGGUAAUACGUAGGGGGCAAGCGUUGUCCGGAAUCAUUGGGCGUAAAGCGCGUGUAGGCGGCUUGAUAAGUCUGCUCUGAAAGCCCGGGGCUCAACCCCGGGAGGCGGGUGGAUACUGUCAAGCUCGAGUCCGGAAGAGGAGUGUGGAAUUCCUGGUGUAGCGGUGAAAUGCGCAGAUAUCAGGAGGAACACCAAUGGCGAAGGCAGCACUCUGGGACGUGACUGACGCUGAGACGCGAAAGCGUGGGGAGCAAACAGGAUUAGAUACCCCCGUAGUCC
This 449-nucleotide ribosomal RNA is filed under the name uncultured bacterium. Its description in RNAcentral is "bacterial SSU rRNA". It matches the Rfam family "Bacterial small subunit ribosomal RNA", at positions 355 to 796 of the family's 1533-position model. The record is from RNAcentral.